This 90-nucleotide transfer RNA is filed under the name bacterium. RNAcentral's name for it is "tRNA-Ser". It matches the Rfam family "tRNA". From Rfam's summary of the family: Transfer RNA (tRNA) molecules are approximately 80 nucleotides in length. Their secondary structure includes four short double-helical elements and three loops (D, anti-codon, and T loops). The record is from RNAcentral. RNAcentral also lists the same sequence under 2 other names.
GGAGGGGUGGCCGAGCGGUUGAAGGCACCGGUCUUGAAAACCGGCAGCGGCGCAAGUCGCUCGUGGGUUCGAAUCCCACCCCCUCCGCCA